CAGAGAGAACGAAGGAAAGAAAAUGAAAAUGGAGAUUUUGAUUAAAAUUCUUCCAAAAUUCAUAACUUGAGCUAGAGACCUCCAAAUCACUCCGUUCCAAAGCCAAACCUGUAAAAAAUUUCGAGAGGAAUCUAUUGGUACCAGUAUUUCUGAGUGGGGUUCACUGUAGAGAGAGAUCUUCUCCCCCAAAGAAUUCGAAUUUCAUGGAAAAUAUGGGUUUUGAUGGAGCUUGAAGCCAUGGGAGCUUGAAGCAAGCUUCUCCCUUCAUUCUAGGUGUACCUAGGGACUGUGAACGUUUGGAUUCUCGUGGAGUAUGAUAAGUAGCUUGUUCUUCAAGUAAGCAGAUUGUAAAGCUCAAAGAGGAACACAGUUAAUUGAAGAGCCUCAUGGGACAAGGACACUAACCGUGGCUAGAGGUACUAGUAUGAGGAUGUGGAGUUCUGGGUGGUCGGAUGCUACUAUUUGUUUUAGACGUAUUUUUGGAAAAGAUGUAUUGUUGCAUAGUGUUCAUAUUCGAUACAUGUACAUUUAUGUAUUCAGGCAUGAUGAUAUGACUAUGUAGUAUUCAGUUAUGUUAUGUAUUGGAUUGCAUGCUAUUAGAUUUGUGGCACGGAGCCAAGUUCAGCAUGCGCCCAUAGAUGGGUAUCUGAGUAUAUUUGCAUGACUGGUACUU
Long non-coding RNA from Gastrolobium bilobum, 673 nucleotides. RefSeq lists it as uncharacterized. NCBI's taxonomy places the organism in Eukaryota, Viridiplantae, Streptophyta, Magnoliopsida, Fabales, Fabaceae. The transcript is spliced from 3 exons. The record is from RefSeq and is a predicted model, not a curated record.